RNAcentral lists this ribosomal RNA (440 nucleotides) under uncultured bacterium. Its description in RNAcentral is "bacterial SSU rRNA". It matches the Rfam family "Bacterial small subunit ribosomal RNA", at positions 86 to 518 of the family's 1533-position model. The record is from RNAcentral.
AGGCGUCGACCGGCGGAAUGGGUCGAGUAACGCGUAUCCAACCUGCCCCUGAGUAAGGGAUAGCCCACUCGAAAGAUGGAUUAAUACCGUUAUGGUCUCCUUUGCAGACAUCUAAUUAGGAGUAAAGAUUUAUCGCUGAGGGAUGGGGAUGCGUCUGAUUAGCUUGUUGGCGGGUAACGGCCCACCAAGGCAACGAUCAGUAGGGGUUCUGAGAGGAAGGUCCCCCACAUUGGUACUGAGACACGGACCAAACUCCUACGGGAGGCAGCAGUGAGGAAUAUUGGUCAAUGGGCGCAAGCCUGAACCAGCCAAGUAGCGUGCCAGGAAGACUGCCCUAUGGGUUGUAAACUGCUUUUUAUACGGGGGAUAAAGUCAGGGUCGUGACCCUGUUUGCAGGUACCGUAUGAAUAAGGACCGGCUAAUUCCGUGCCAGCAGCUGC